Molecule: ribosomal RNA, 253 nt
Filed under: uncultured bacterium
Lineage: Bacteria
Description: partial 16S ribosomal RNA
Rfam family: Bacterial small subunit ribosomal RNA
Source: RNAcentral
AACGUAGGGGACAAGCGUUAUCCGGAUUUACUGGGCGUAAAGCGCCCGUAGGCGGCCUGACAAGUUGGACGUGAAAGCUCCUGGCUUAACUGGGAGAGGCCGUUCAAAACUGUCAGGCUAGAGUCUGGAAGAGGAGAGCGGAAUUCCCGGUGUAGUGGUGGAAUGCGUAGAGAUCGGGAGGAACACCAGUGGCGAAAGCGGCUCUCUGGUCCAAAACUGACGCUGAGGGGCGAAAGCGUGGGGAGCGAACGGG